RNA transcript from Mangifera indica (mango), 4678 nucleotides. It is a transcript of the gene named ankyrin repeat domain-containing protein 13C-B-like, with no coding region annotated. The transcript has 3 exons. Lineage: Eukaryota; Viridiplantae; Streptophyta; Magnoliopsida; Sapindales; Anacardiaceae. The record is from RefSeq and is a predicted model, not a curated record.
UAUUCUUUUCUUGGAUCUUUUGUUUUUGGGGACCCAUAUGAAAUAAUUCUUCUUCUUCUCAUUUUCUUUGUGUUCAUAAUUAGUGACUGUUUCUUUUUUUAGGUUGUUCUCUGGGUGUUACUUUAAUUGGGUUCGAUUCAUUUCUCUUGUUUUAUGUGUUUUCUCUCAGUGAUUUCUGUGGGGUAAUAAUUGCUAGGGUUUAAAUUAGGCUGUGAUCAUUUUUAUCAUGCUGGUUGAGUUAUAGAAUAAUUGCGGGUUUGUCUGUGCGUGCUUUAGCGUGAGUUCAUAUUGUAGAUACUCCUGAGGCAUGGCGGGUCUUGAUGUUUCAAAAUAUGCUCAUAGCCCUGUGCACAAGGCCAUUGCCACGAGAGAUUAUGCCAGUCUCAGGAGAAUACUUGCUGCUCUCCCAAGGCUUGGUAAUCCGGCUGAGAUUUGUAGUGAAAUGGCAUCGUUGACUGAGGAGGAGAAGGCUGAUGCCAUCUCAGUGGUGAUUGAUAGGCGGGAUGUCCCAAAUCGGGACACCCCUCUUCAUUUGGCUGUCAAACUUGGUGAUGAGACUGCUACAGAGAUGCUUAUGGUUGCUGGGGCUGAUUGGAGUUUGCAGAACGAACAGGGAUGGAGUGCACUCCAGGAGGCAAUUUGCAAUAGAGAAGAAGGUAUUUCCAUGAUUAUAGUUAGGCAUAACCAGCCUUUGGCAUGGGCUAAAUGGUGUCGGAGAUUGCCUCGGUUAAUUGGGACUAUGCACAGGAUGAGGGAUUUUUAUAUGGAAAUUACAUUUCAUUUCGAGAGUUCGGUGAUACCUUUUAUUUCAAGAAUUGCUCCUUCAGAUACUUAUAAAAUUUGGAAGAGGGGUGCCAAUUUGAGGGCGGAUAUGACUUUAGCUGGAUUUGAUGGAUUUAAGAUCCAGAGAUCAGAUCAGACUGUUCUUUUUCUUGGUGAUGGGUCUGAAGAUGGAAAGGUUCCUCCUGGAUCACUUUGCAUGAUCUCACAUAAGGAUAAGGAGGUGAUGAACACUUUGGAUGGGGCUGGUUCUCAAGCUACAGAAGAAGAGGUUCGACAAGAAGUGGCUGCAAUGUCUCAAACUAAUAUAUUUAGGCCUGGGAUUGAUGUGACUCAGGCAGUUCUUUUGCCGCAGUUGACAUGGAGGUGGCAGGAGAAAGCAGAGAUGGUGGGUCCAUGGAAGGCAAAGGUAUAUGAUAUGCAUAACGUAGUUGUUAGCAUUAAAUCCAGGACAGUCCCUGGAGCCAUGACGGAUGAUGAGUUCUUCUCAUCUUGCAAUGAAAAUGAAACAGGGAGUGAGGAGCUUGAUGAUAUUUUGACAGAAGAUGAAAGAAGGCAACUUGAGGUUGCACUCAAAUCAGAUAGGUCAGAAAUGAGCAAUGAGAAUGGUGAUGGGAUUAUCGCUCAUUGUCACAGUUGUUAUGACCAUAGGGAGAUUCCCAUUGAUGGUGUGAGUUGUUGUAGAAAUGGAAACACUAAACAGGAAAAAAAAGGAUGGUUUGGUGGAUGGAGGAAAAGAGAUUCUAAACCGGAAGAACAGAAGAAGAUUGUACCACCAAGAAGUUCUCUUUGUGCUGAAGAGAAGUUGAGUAAUCUUCUAGGGGACUCUCCUUCUGGAAGUCAGAUAAAACCAGGAAGGCAUUCUGUUGAGCUUGUUGCAAGGGAUGAGCACCAGAGAGGAAGGGAUACCAGAACAUCAGCUUCUGUAAUCUCUGAGAGUGGACAUCGGCGCAAGGAUGGAGGCCGUGAGAAUGAGUAUAAGAAAGGGUUGAGGCCUAUUCUCUGGCUUUCCCCAAACUUCCCCCUGCAAACUGAAGAACUCCUGCCAUUGCUUGACAUUCUUGCAAGCAAAGUUAAGGCAAUUCGUCGUUUAAGAGAACUGCUUACUACGAAACUCCCAUUGGGAACCUUUCCAGUUAAGGUUAUCUUAUUCUAGUUGCUUUUCUCCCCCUGGAUCCAAGCAAUCAGUUCACGUUUUAAGUUACACGUUUCAUACUGGAUGCCAGUUUAGUGCUAUAUGGCCUUUGCCCAGCUGGGCUAUUGGAGUUGAUCAGAAAGACAGCAAUAUAUGCCAUGUGCACUAUGUAUAAAAUAUGUUCAGCUCCUGCAUACUUUGCCUGUUAUUGGAGAUUGGAAUAUCUUUAGUUUGUGGUGUUGUCCGAUUGUCAUUUGGUAUUUCAAGAUGUGAGGCCUAUGUCAACUCACAAUCUUCUUACAUCUAAUGAGAUUAUUGUUUGUCAGAAGGUGAAACUUUCUUCUUCAACUGACUUUGCUUGUCUGUGGAUGUUAUUCUGUUUUUUUAAGAGUUAAUUUUUGAAAGAUAGCAUUCAUGUCAACCCCUUCAAGUAAAAUUGCUAUUGUUGUCACUGUUUUGUUCUUAGAUGUUGAGCAUUUUCUUUCCUCAUAUACAUUUCAUCAACUACUGGAAAUAGGUAUCUACAUGGUAUGAUUUCAAGCUCUGAAUGGAGAAUGAAUUAUUCUAAUUUCAUUUAUUGCACACGAAUUCAAUUCAUAAUAAGCGGCUUAUACGCUUGAAGAAAACAUUUAGCCCAGGAUUACACAUAAUAUUUCAGUGAGGAUGAUAUCUGAGAUAUGUAGAGUCAUUGAUUUUGUUUCCCUUUAUUUAUAUAAUCAAGAAAUGAUAUGUUGUGUCAUAUCAGUCUACGAGGCCUAAAGACAGUGUGAUUCUGUUAGAUACCCAGCCAAUAUUCACCCACCAACAGCAAACAACACAACAUUUAAGAAGCAUAAACUAUUUUAUUGAUAAAGAGGGAUUUACAAAGGAUAAACCGGCAAUUCAAAGAGUCAGACUUCCCAAUUCUGGCCAUUCUAGGUGUUGGAAUCCUCCCAAAUCAGCCUAAAAGGCUGCCCUUGGCCAAAGGUGCUCAAAACCCUAAUUUUCUUUCUUCUCCUCCUUUAACAAUCAUUUAUUUACUCAAUCUAACCUCUAGAAUUUGGACAUGUGUCCCAAAAAGCCCUAAGUCCUUACAUAUUCAUUUUACAUUGGUCCAAUCGUUCUCACUAUCUGCAAGCAAUCUUUAUUUUGCCUAUCUUACCUAAGUUUCCCUUACUUCUCUACAGAGCAACUUUUCAUGGUCAUCCAAGAAAUCCGUGCUAGGCACCUACUUAUCUAGUUGAAGAAGUGCUUAUUAAAUUUGCAAUGUUAGAAGCAAGAAUGAGGUAGAAUUGAGUUUUCCUACUUUAGGCAAGGCCUCUUUGUUGUCAAUCUUGAAUGUUGGAGUGUUUCCCUCAUAUAAAUUUUUCUUGAAAUCUUCUAGUAGAAAAAACACCUUCAAGUAAUCACCUCUAGUUGCCCACAUGUAGUGUAAAUGCUCAAAUGCUGAAACUAGGAAGAAAUCUCCUUGCGUAUGGGUCUGUUCAGAGUGAACUUUGAAAGGGGUUAAGAACUUUGAGAAAGUUUCCUUUAGUCUUUUUAUAUAGAGAUUGUUUUCCUUUAUCAGUAAGAAUGGGAACUUGUUUUUUGGAGAUAAAUUAUCUGGAAAUUCUGAAGUAUCUCCCGUAGGAUCUGUCAAUGUUAUGUUGGUGUGUGGGUUACACAUCUUGGAUUGCUUCAAUAAGUCUUUUCAUAGGAAAACCCUAUUACUUGGCACUUUAUUAUUACCAGGUUGUUGGUUGUAGCUGGUACCCACUUAGUUGAGGAGUAAAAAAUGAGCAACGGAGAGAAAUGCUAUAAAAUAGUACUUUGAAAAAAUGUUCUUAAGCUGCCACUCAAGAAGUUUGAUUGAUAUACCAAGUCAACUGAUAAUCACAUUCACCAUAGUUAUUACUCUGAAGAAUUUAAACCAACUUGCAUAAUUGUGCAUUGUGUCACAAGAGAAUCAGUGUUACACAUUUAGACUCCUGAGGCCAGCUAUCAUCGGUGCAGAACUGAUCCAAACAUGUUUAGUUUGGUACAAUUAAAGUUGUAGUUUUAUUAAGAAAAUGAAUAGAACAUUUUGUUUAUAAUUUGUUGACAACCAGGUUGGACUGAGUUACUGAUGUCUAACCACCAACCUAUGGUACUCGUGACUGAGUCAUUGACAUUGGACUAUUCUAUAUGAUACUAUGUACAUAAACCAAGAAAAUAAAUUAUCUUUGGGAUCCUUGGGUUUUGUAUACUGGUGAGGCUGAUGAUGUUUAACAUCAGAAUCUAGGGAAUUUGAACUUGUUGAAAGUUUUUGAUUUGUAGUAUGUGUAAACCUAAGAUCUGGUGCUGCCGGGUGUAUUUAUGUGAACUGCUUUAGAUUGGAUAAAGAAAGUGAGGGUCUUGAUUAUCUCAAUCCCUUUGAACUUGGCCCAGAUUUCUGACACCAAGAGUUUGACUAAUAUUGAAUUCUUGCUUUUUAAGUAAAAAAACAGAGGUGGUAGGUUCAUGGCGUCAUGAAAUAAACUUAGGGUGCAAGCAUUUCUAAAUUCAGGCCAUUCGAUCUUUGUUGUUGUUGACUUUGAAUUAGUGUAACAAGAGUGUGUGUUUAUACAAGAUCAACAGGUAGAAGUGGAUCUAGCUGGUUGGAGUUACAUAGAGCACUUUGUGGUAGCCUGCUUUUGCCAAAAUUUUGUUCUGCUUUACUUAUGGCAAUUUUCCGGAGCAGUACCUUGAACAUUUGGUUUUACUAUUUUACUUCUGUAUUAUUGUUAGCUGCCUCAUUAUACCUGUUCAUUAGUCCUUUGUUGCUGC